ACCUAAAUUACUUUUAUAUUUUUUAGUUUUAUAAAAGUAUGAACAAUGAUAUGUAAUUCAGGUGUAAGUAAUCAAAGUGAUUGUUAAGGAUGCCUAGCAAACAUUUAUUUAAGGAGGUGUAUUUCACCUAAAGCUUUUAAAUAGAAUUUAAAUUUAUAAUGGCGUUCCUUUGGGAAACUAUCUUUUAAGACGCAGUGAACUGAAACAUCUAAGUAACUGUAGGAAAGGAAAUCAACCGAGACUCCAUAAGUAGUGGUGAGCGAAAGUGGACUAGCCGUAUGUAAUAACUAUUAUAGAAAUAUUUGGAAAAAUAUCCCAUAGAAGGUAAUAGUCCUGUAUAAAUAGUGUUAUUAACAACAAGUAAAGUGGAAGAAAAUCUGCUUGAAAAUUGGGGAACCAUCCUCAAAGGCUAAGUAUAAAUGUUUAGCGAUAGCGAAAAGUAACGUGAGUGAAAGGUGAAAAGGAUAGUCGAUGACAGAAAGUGAAAAAGUUCUUAAUUAGCAAUCAUAUAAGCAAUUAAAGCAUUUAUAAGUUAAAAAUGUAAUAAUGUACCUUUUGUAUAAUGGGUUAGCGAGUUGAUGGCAGUAGCAAGGUUAACAACCCUGGCGAAAGCAACUCACAAAUUAUUGUGCGGUAAUAGUUACUGUCUUCAGACCCGAAACGCGGUGAUCUAUCCAUGACCAGAUUAAUAAUAAGAUCGAAUGGUUCAAUGUUGCAGUAUUGUCCAAUGAGUUGUGGAUUGUCGGUGAAAGGCCAAUCUGACUGCGAUAUAGCUGGUUCUCCUCGAAACAUAUUUAGGUAUGACUUUCUAAUUUAGAUUUAUGCGGGUACAGCACUGAUUGCCAUACCAAGCUUUAAUUUAAAGUAAGGUUUAAUUGGGGGGUUGUAAAAACUUUAUCAUUGGUUAAUUAAUCUCGGAAACAACAUAAAUUGAUUUAGAAAUUUCAGACUAUUCAUGAUAAGGUGGAUAGUCGAGACGGAAACAGCCGUGAACAUAGAAAAAGGUCCCAAAGUAAUGAUUAAGUGAAAAUAAGGAAGUUGUGGUUCGAAAACAACUAUAAAGUUAGCUUGGAAGUUGCUAUCUUUUAAUGAAAGUGUAACAACUUAGUAGUCUAAUGAAACAUAGCGCCGAAGAUUAACGGGUCUAGAUCAUUCACCGAAACUAUGUCUUUAUGUUCUUUGUAUUAUAAAUUAUAGAACAUAUUUGGGUAGAGGAGCUUUCAGUAUGUAAGAAGAAUAGUGUUUCAUUAUUUGGACAUUGCUGAAGGGAUUAUGCUAACAUGAGUAACGUAGAAAGAAGUUAUAAUACUUCUCGCCGAACACGAAAGGGUUUCAAAGUAAUGUUAAACAGCUUUGAUUAAGAACGGUCUCUAAUGUGGUAUAUAGAAAUAAGCUAUAUGCAACAGAUGAGUUAGGGGUAGAAAGUCUUUGACCAAGAAAAUAAUACCUCUCGACCUCUGACCUCUAGAAGGAAAGUAAAGAUCUGACCUAAAUUUGCACAGAUCGUCUGGUCUGUAAUUGUUUAGGUUGAGGAUAUAAUAACCGUACCCUAAACUGACACAAGUUCGUAGGUAGAGAAUACCAAGGCGUAGAGAUAAUACUGUAUAAGGAACUCGGCAAAAUGCACUCGUACGUUUAACAAUAAGAGUGACCGUAGGGUGGCACAGAAUCGUGAAGCACAACUGUUUACCAAAAACACAGGUAUCUGCUAUGUUUUAAAUAACAUUGUAUAGGUGCUGAAUCUUGUCCGAUGUCUAAAGUAUAAUAUUCGUAAAGAAAGGAGUAGAUGUAUAAUCGAGCUGUAAACAAUAAAAAUAUCCGGUUGUUCUUAUUGUAGUGAUAUUUUAAGAAGGAAGGGCAUGGAGUAAGUUUAUAGCAACUUAGUAGAUAUGGAUAAAAAACUAGAUCAAUGACAGACUUAACUAUAAGGUUUUUAACAGUAGCGAAAUUCCUUGGCCGUUAAAUGCGGUCCUGCAUGAAUAGAGUAAUGAUGCUUCAGCUGUCUCAUACAGUAUCUCAGUGAAAUUGAAUUAGCCGUGAAGAUGCGGUUUAAGUGUGGGUAGACGGGAAGACCCUAUGCAGCUUUACUAUAAUUAAUUAUUGUUCGAAUUUAAAAAAAUACUAGUGUAGAGGGUAGUCGUAAGACACAAUUGGAACACCCUUAUUAAUUUUAUGUGAGAACUUUCACCCUGAAAGGGGGAUGAAUGAUUAACUGGUAGUUUAACUGGGACGGUUUCCUCCAAUAAAGUAUCGGAGGACUUCAAAGGUAUAUUUAUAUUAGAUGGAAACUAAUUUGUUAUGUAGAACGAAUAAAAAUGUAAAGGUGAAAUAUGCUUAACUGUGAGACUGAUAAGUCAAACAGAUACGUAAGUAGGACUUAGUGAUCCGGUGAUCCUUUAUGGAAAGGUCAUCGCUCAAGAAAUAAAAGUUACGCUAGGGAUAACAGGGUAAUAGCUCUCGAGAGUUCAUAUUGUCAGAGCUGUUUGCCACCUCGAUGUCGACUCACCUUAUCCUCUUGGUGCAUAAGCUAAGAAGGGUUCUGCUGUUCGCAGAUUAAAAAGGUACGCGAGUUGGGUUCAAUACGAUGUGAGUCAGUAUGGUUCCUAUCUUCCACACUAACGAAUAGUCAUAUUUAAAUGGGUCCUUAGUACGAAAGGACCAGGAUCUGCGUUUCUAUGGUGUACCAAUUGUUGAUAUGAACUAUCAGCACCGUUGGGUAGCUACAAACGUUAAAGAUAAAAGCUGAAAGCAUAUAAGCUCUUGAAGCUAACUAAAGACGACUAUACUUGUACAAUUAGUACAUGGUAAGAGAUAGACUAUCUCUUUGAUAGGUCACAUGUAUAAGUACGGAGACGUAUUGUAGCUUAGUGAUUCUAAUUUUCCAAUUUACUUACAC
Molecule: ribosomal RNA, 2896 nt
Filed under: fermentation metagenome
Description: bacterial LSU rRNA
Rfam family: Bacterial large subunit ribosomal RNA
Source: RNAcentral